Molecule: ribosomal RNA, 625 nt
Filed under: Enterobacter sp. bubt11
Lineage: Bacteria; Pseudomonadati; Pseudomonadota; Gammaproteobacteria; Enterobacterales; Enterobacteriaceae
Description: bacterial SSU rRNA
Rfam family: Bacterial small subunit ribosomal RNA
Source: RNAcentral
CGCAUCACACGCGCGAGUCGAGCGGUAACACAGAGAGCUUGCUCUCGGGUGACGAGCGGCGGACGGGUGAGUAAUGUCUGGGAAACUGCCUGAUGGAGGGGGAUAACUACUGGAAACGGUAGCUAAUACCGCAUAACGUCGCAAGACCAAAGAGGGGGACCUUCGGGCCUCUUGCCAUCAGAUGUGCCCAGAUGGGAUUAGCUAGUAGGUGGGGUAACGGCUCACCUAGGCGACGAUCCCUAGCUGGUCUGAGAGGAUGACCAGCCACACUGGAACUGAGACACGGUCCAGACUCCUACGGGAGGCAGCAGUGGGGAAUAUUGCACAAUGGGCGCAAGCCUGAUGCAGCCAUGCCGCGUGUAUGAAGAAGGCCUUCGGGUUGUAAAGUACUUUCAGCGGGGAGGAAGGUGUUGAGGUUAAUAACCUCAGCAAUUGACGUUACCCGCAGAAGAAGCACCGGCUAACUCCGUGCCAGCAGCCGCGGUAAUACGGAGGGUGCAAGCGUUAAUCGGAAUUACUGGGCGUAAAGCGCACGCAGGCGGUCUGUCAAGUCGGAUGUGAAAUCCCCGGGCUCAACCUGGGAACUGCAUUCGAAACUGGCAGGCUAGAGUCCUGUAGAUGGGGC